UCAGAGAGAAGAGAAAACUUACUCAGUAAAUAACCUUCCUCCAGAUAGACCGGGAAGUCCAUUCACUGUCGGUUCUCUAAUUAAACAGGCAACAAGAAUUCUUCAACAUUGUGUGAAGAUGAGACUUUCUUUAAGCCAUAACUAUCGUAUAUGCUGCUGGAAAAUGGUACCUGGGAUAAAUGAUAGCAAUAUACUGCCUUUGGUUUUGAAAGAGUCACUCAUACCCAGUGUGGGAAGAUUUCUUGCCUACUCUGAUGACAAAGUACAUGCUAUCUUUUUAGAUGGCAUUACUCUAACCCUAAAUUGGAAUUUCAGCUCUCCUAUUGAGAAGAGACAGGUAAAUCAAGGUCUUAACUUAGGUUGGUGUAAGUUAACUUUUCCUGAUGGACAAGAGCAGUUAAUUCAGAUUGAACACCCUGAACCAUAUGAAAGAUAUGUGACAACAGUAACAUCAUGGUGCAGGAGACUGACCCAGACUAGUCCCAGAGAGAUGCCCACUCAUUCGUCAUCUUCUGUUCUCCAAGAAAAUUGGUAUUUUUCUUUUAAACUUAAAUCUGUUUAGAAGAGCUAAUACUUUAAAAAAAAUUAAAAUGUCAAAUGGUAAACUGAGACUUUUUUCCCCAAAAAAACUUUCUUAGUUUUGAAUAUGUUUAACUCCUAAAGUAUUUUUGAUAGCUUAAGCUUGAAAAUAAUUUCUAAUCAGACAUCUAAUUUAUUACAUUUCAUCAUAUUCUAUUUUACCUAAAGGUAAGAAAACCUUGCAUUGAAAACUUAACAUGAAAAUGAGUGGCUCUUUUUAUGUGACAAAUUCAUCCUGAAAACUUUAUGGAAAA
Molecule: long non-coding RNA, 833 nt
Filed under: Homo sapiens (human)
Lineage: Eukaryota; Metazoa; Chordata; Mammalia; Primates; Hominidae
Description: non-protein coding lnc-TMEM267-2:1
Source: RNAcentral